CUCUGACCUCAAAUCAGGUAGGACUACCCGCUGAACUUAAGCAUAUCAAUAAGCGGAGGAAAAGAAACUAACAAGGAUUCCCCUAGUAACUGCGAGUGAAGCGGGAAAAGCUCAAAUUUGAAAUCUGGCGGCCUGGCGGUCGUC
This 144-nucleotide ribosomal RNA is filed under the name Lichenomphalia meridionalis. RNAcentral describes it as "partial 28S ribosomal RNA". It matches the Rfam family "Eukaryotic large subunit ribosomal RNA", at positions 1 to 138 of the family's 3401-position model. Lineage: Eukaryota; Fungi; Basidiomycota; Agaricomycetes; Agaricales; Hygrophoraceae. The record is from RNAcentral.